Molecule: long non-coding RNA, 298 nt
Filed under: Medicago truncatula (barrel medic)
Lineage: Eukaryota; Viridiplantae; Streptophyta; Magnoliopsida; Fabales; Fabaceae
Description: long non-coding RNA (MTRU_LNC008422)
Source: RNAcentral
UUUGGGCUAUUUUGGAAGAGAAGGAAUGAUAUUGUGUUCAAUAUGGUGUUGUCGACUUAGAUGAUUUGGUGGAAAAUAUUAAAGUUCUAUCAUGGUAUUGGAGUUUGAGUAAGUUAAAAAUCACGUCAUGUCUUUACUAUGAGUGGUGUUGGAAUCCUCGGGAAUGUUUGAUUAGGUAACAGUCGGUUUUGGUGGAGUUUUGUGGCAGGGGGAGCUUUUGGCAGGCAGCAGCACCUGUUGUGUGGUCUGGCACGGCUGCUGUGCUGCUGUUAUCUGUUUUUGGUGGCUGGCAGUAUGG